This 511-nucleotide ribosomal RNA is filed under the name uncultured Acidobacteriota bacterium. RNAcentral describes it as "bacterial SSU rRNA". It matches the Rfam family "Bacterial small subunit ribosomal RNA", at positions 8 to 522 of the family's 1533-position model. The record is from RNAcentral. Lineage: Bacteria; Pseudomonadati; Acidobacteriota.
AGAGUUUGAUCAUGGCUCAGAACGAACGCUGGCGGCGUGCUUAACACAUGCAAGUCGAGUGCGCGCCUGUAGCAAUACAGGUGGCGCACGGCGCACGGGUGCGUAACACGUAGGUAAUCUGCCCUCUGAUGGGGAAUAACUCGCCGAAAGGCGAGCUAAUUCCGCAUAACAUUCCGAGAACUUCGGUUUUUGGACUCAAAGGCGUAAGUCGUCGGAGGAGGAGCCCGCGCACGAUUAGCUAGUUGGUGAGGUAAUGGCUCACCAAGGCUAUGAUCGUUAGCUGGUCUGAGAGGAUGGCCAGCCACACUGGAACUGAGACACGGUCCAGACUCCUACGGGAGGCAGCAGUGGGGAAUCUUGCACAAUGGGCGAAAGCCUGAUGCAGCGACGCCGCGUGGGGGAUGAAGCUUCUCGGAGUGUAAACCCCUUUCGACCCGGACGAAUACCUCGCAAGAGGGGUGACGGUACGGGUAUAAGAAGCCCGGCUAACUACGUGCCAGCAGCCGCGGUA